CACCAUUAGUGCCUAGAAACAGAAACCCGCGAGUUAUCUCAUUGACUGCCGUCACCAUUGACCAUGUCUCCAACAGAAAUAACAUGAAGGAAGAAAGGGAUUCAUAACAUGGAGAACAGCAAAGAGGAAAAAGAAGAAGAGCAAUGUAUGGUACUGCAGUUCCCAAGGCUUGAAAAUAUCGCUGCAGCAACUCAAUCCCCCGCUCCGGCUCCCGCAGCUCCCGCAGCCGCUCCCGCGCCCGCUCCCACUGCUCCCGCUCCCGCUCCCACUGCUGCAGCAAGUUAUCUCAUUCACCAUUGACCAUGUCUCCAACAGAAAUAACAUGAAGGAAGAAAGGGAUUCAUAACAUGGAGAACAGCAAAGAGGAAAAAGAGGAAAAAGAAGGUAUGGUACUGCAGUUCCCAAGGCUUGAAAAUAUCGCUGCAGCAACUCAAUCCCCCGCUCCGGCUCCCGCAGCUCCCGCAGCCGCUCCCGCGCCCGCUCCCACUGCUCCCGCUCCCGCUCCCACUGCUGCAGCANNNN
Molecule: long non-coding RNA, 522 nt
Filed under: Arachis ipaensis
Lineage: Eukaryota; Viridiplantae; Streptophyta; Magnoliopsida; Fabales; Fabaceae
Description: long non-coding RNA (AIPA_LNC001043)
Source: RNAcentral